AUUGAACGCUGGCGGCAGGCCUAACACAUGCAAGUCGAACGGUAACAGGAAGAAUCUUGCUUCUUUGCUGACGAGUGGCGGACGGGUGAGUAAUGUCUGGGAAACUGCCUGAUGGAGGGGGAUAACUACUGGAAACGGUAGCUAAUACCGCAUAACGUCGCAAGACCAAAGAGGGGGACCUUCGGGCCUCUUGCCAUCGGAUGUGCCCAGACGGGAUUAGCUAGUAGGUGGGGUAACGGCUCACCUAGGCGACGAUCCCUAGCUGGUCUGAGAGGAUGACCAGCCACACUGGAACUGAGACACGGUCCAGACUCCUACGGGAGGCAGCAGUGGGGAAUAUUGCACAAUGGGCGCAAGCCUGAUGCAGCCAUGCCGCGUGUAUGAAGAAGGCCUUCGGGUUGUAAAGUACUUUCAGCGGGGAGGAAGGGAGUAAAGUUAAUACCUUUACUCAUUGACGUUACCCGCAGAAGAAGCACCGGCUAACUCCGUG
RNAcentral lists this ribosomal RNA (490 nucleotides) under uncultured bacterium. RNAcentral describes it as "partial 16S ribosomal RNA". It matches the Rfam family "Bacterial small subunit ribosomal RNA", at positions 30 to 507 of the family's 1533-position model. The record is from RNAcentral.